Molecule: ribosomal RNA, 2351 nt
Filed under: Escherichia coli 10.0833
Lineage: Bacteria; Pseudomonadati; Pseudomonadota; Gammaproteobacteria; Enterobacterales; Enterobacteriaceae
Description: bacterial LSU rRNA
Rfam family: Bacterial large subunit ribosomal RNA
Source: RNAcentral
GUGACUGCGUACCUUUUGUAUAAUGGGUCAGCGACUUAUAUUCUGUAGCAAGGUUAACCGAAUAGGGGAGCCGAAGGGAAACCGAGUCUUAACUGGGCGUUAAGUUGCAGGGUAUAGACCCGAAACCCGGUGAUCUAGCCAUGGGCAGGUUGAAGGUUGGGUAACACUAACUGGAGGACCGAACCGACUAAUGUUGAAAAAUUAGCGGAUGACUUGUGGCUGGGGGUGAAAGGCCAAUCAAACCGGGAGAUAGCUGGUUCUCCCCGAAAGCUAUUUAGGUAGCGCCUCGUGAAUUCAUCUCCGGGGGUAGAGCACUGUUUCGGCAAGGGGGUCAUCCCGACUUACCAACCCGAUGCAAACUGCGAAUACCGGAGAAUGUUAUCACGGGAGACACACGGCGGGUGCUAACGUCCGUCGUGAAGAGGGAAACAACCCAGACCGCCAGCUAAGGUCCCAAAGUCAUGGUUAAGUGGGAAACGAUGUGGGAAGGCCCAGACAGCCAGGAUGUUGGCUUAGAAGCAGCCAUCAUUUAAAGAAAGCGUAAUAGCUCACUGGUCGAGUCGGCCUGCGCGGAAGAUGUAACGGGGCUAAACCAUGCACCGAAGCUGCGGCAGCGACACUGUGUGUUGUUGGGUAGGGGAGCGUUCUGUAAGCCUGUGAAGGUGUGCUGUGAGGCAUGCUGGAGGUAUCAGAAGUGCGAAUGCUGACAUAAGUAACGAUAAAGCGGGUGAAAAGCCCGCUCGCCGGAAGACCAAGGGUUCCUGUCCAACGUUAAUCGGGGCAGGGUGAGUCGACCCCUAAGGCGAGGCCGAAAGGCGUAGUCGAUGGGAAACAGGUUAAUAUUCCUGUACUUGGUGUUACUGCGAAGGGGGGACGGAGAAGGCUAUGUUGGCCGGGCGACGGUUGUCCCGGUUUAAGCGUGUAGGCUGGUUUUCCAGGCAAAUCCGGAAAAUCAAGGCUGAGGCGUGAUGACGAGGCACUACGGUGCUGAAGCAACAAAUGCCCUGCUUCCAGGAAAAGCCUCUAAGCAUCAGGUAACAUCAAAUCGUACCCCAAACCGACACAGGUGGUCAGGUAGAGAAUACCAAGGCGUUUGAGAGAACUCGGGUGAAGGAACUAGGCAAAAUGGUGCCGUAACUUCGGGAGAAGGCACGCUGAUAUGUAGGUGAAGUCCCUCGCGGAUGGAGCUGAAAUCAGUCGAAGAUACCAGCUGGCUGCAACUGUUUAUUAAAAACACAGCACUGUGCAAACACGAAAGUGGACGUAUACGGUGUGACGCCUGCCCGGUGCCGGAAGGUUAAUUGAUGGGGUCAGCGCAAGCGAAGCUCUUGAUCGAAGCCCCGGUAAACGGCGGCCGUAACUAUAACGGUCCUAAGGUAGCGAAAUUCCUUGUCGGGUAAGUUCCGACCUGCACGAAUGGCGUAAUGAUGGCCAGGCUGUCUCCACCCGAGACUCAGUGAAAUUGAACUCGCUGUGAAGAUGCAGUGUACCCGCGGCAAGACGGAAAGACCCCGUGAACCUUUACUAUAGCUUGACACUGAACAUUGAGCCUUGAUGUGUAGGAUAGGUGGGAGGCUUUGAAGUGUGGACGCCAGUCUGCAUGGAGCCGACCUUGAAAUACCACCCUUUAAUGUUUGAUGUUCUAACGUGGACCCGUGAUCCGGGUUGCGGACAGUGUCUGGUGGGUAGUUUGACUGGGGCGGUCUCCUCCUAAAGAGUAACGGAGGAGCACGAAGGUUGGCUAAUCCUGGUCGGACAUCAGGAGGUUAGUGCAAUGGCAUAAGCCAGCUUGACUGCGAGCGUGACGGCGCGAGCAGGUGCGAAAGCAGGUCAUAGUGAUCCGGUGGUUCUGAAUGGAAGGGCCAUCGCUCAACGGAUAAAAGGUACUCCGGGGAUAACAGGCUGAUACCGCCCAAGAGUUCAUAUCGACGGCGGUGUUUGGCACCUCGAUGUCGGCUCAUCACAUCCUGGGGCUGAAGUAGGUCCCAAGGGUAUGGCUGUUCGCCAUUUAAAGUGGUACGCGAGCUGGGUUUAGAACGUCGUGAGACAGUUCGGUCCCUAUCUGCCGUGGGCGCUGGAGAACUGAGGGGGGCUGCUCCUAGUACGAGAGGACCGGAGUGGACGCAUCACUGGUGUUCGGGUUGUCAUGCCAAUGGCACUGCCCGGUAGCUAAAUGCGGAAGAGAUAAGUGCUGAAAGCAUCUAAGCACGAAACUUGCCCCGAGAUGAGUUCUCCCUGACCCUUUAAGGGUCCUGAAGGAACGUUGAAGACGACGACGUUGAUAGGCCGGGUGUGUAAGCGCAGCGAUGCGUUGAGCUAACCGGUACUAAUGAACCGUGAGGCUUAACCUU